GAUGAAGAACGCAGCGAAAUGCGAUAAGUAAUGUGAAUUGCAGAAUUCAGUGAAUCAUCGAAUCUUUGAACGCACAUUGCGCCCGCCAGUAUUCUGGCGGGCAUGCCUGUUCGAGCGUCAUUUCAACCAUCAAGCCCUGCUUGCGUUGGGGUCCUGCGGCUGCCCGCAGGCCCUGAAAACCAGUGGCGGGCUCGCUAGUCACACCGAGCGCAGUAAUACAUCUCGCUUUGGGCGUGGCGGGUUCUUGCCGUUAAACACCCCCUUUUUACCAAGGUUGACCUCGGAUCAGGUAGGAAUACCCGCUGAACUUAAGCAUAUCAAUAGCGGAGGA
RNAcentral lists this unclassified non-coding RNA (331 nucleotides) under soil metagenome. Its description in RNAcentral is "partial contains 5.8S ribosomal RNA, internal transcribed spacer 2, and large subunit ribosomal RNA". The stretch from base 1 to 120 matches the Rfam family "5.8S ribosomal RNA", at positions 35 to 154 of the family's 154-position model. The record is from RNAcentral.